CAGUAGCCACGGUAAUACAGAGGGUGCGAGCGUUAAUCGGAUUUACUGGGCGUAAAGCGUGCGUAGGCGGCUUCUUAAGUCGGAUGUGAAAUCCCUGAGCUUAACUUAGUAAUUGCAUUCGAUACUGGGAAGCUAGAGUAUGGGAGAGGAUGGUAGAAUUCCAGGUGUAGCGGUGAAAUGCGUAGAGAUCUGGAGGAAUACCGAUGGCGAAGGCAGCCAUCUGGCCUAAUACUGACGCUGAGGUACGAAAGCAUGGGGAGCAAACAGGAUUAGAUACCCCAGUAGUCCCUGUCUCUUAUAC
Molecule: ribosomal RNA, 301 nt
Filed under: uncultured bacterium
Lineage: Bacteria
Description: partial 16S ribosomal RNA
Rfam family: Bacterial small subunit ribosomal RNA
Source: RNAcentral